This 331-nucleotide ribosomal RNA is filed under the name uncultured soil bacterium. Its description in RNAcentral is "bacterial SSU rRNA". It matches the Rfam family "Bacterial small subunit ribosomal RNA", at positions 60 to 389 of the family's 1533-position model. The record is from RNAcentral.
AGUCGAACGAUAGUUGUCAGCUUGCUGAUAACGAAAAGUGGCGCACGGGUGCGUAACGCGUAUGCAACCUACCUUAAUCAGGGGGAUAGCCCGAAGAAAUUCGGAUUAACACCGCAUAAAAACACAGGGUAGCAUUACCUCAUGUUCAAAUAUUUAUAGGAUUAAGAUGGGCAUGCGUGUCAUUAGCUAGUUGGCGGGGUAACGGCCCACCAAGGCGACGAUGACUAGGGGAUCUGAGAGGAUGACCCCCCACACUGGUACUGAGACACGGACCAGACUCCUACGGGAGGCAGCAGUAAGGAAUAUUGGUCAAUGGAGGCAACUCUGAACC